AUACGGAGGGGGCUAGCGUUGUUCGGAAUUACUGGGCGUAAAGCGCACGUAGGCGGUUUAUCAAGUUAGGCGUGAAAGCCCUGGGCUCAACCCAGGAACUGCGUUUAAUACUGAUAAGCUAGAGACCGGGAGAGGGUGGCGGAAUUCCCAGUGUAGAGGUGAAAUUCGUAGAUAUUGGGAAGAACACCGGUUGCGAAGGCGGCCACCUGGACCGGAACUGACGCUGAGGUGCGAAAGCGUGGGGAGCAAACAGGAUUAGAUACCCGGGUAGUCC
Molecule: ribosomal RNA, 274 nt
Filed under: uncultured bacterium
Lineage: Bacteria
Description: partial 16S ribosomal RNA
Rfam family: Bacterial small subunit ribosomal RNA
Source: RNAcentral